AUGUUUGGAGAUAUCACAACUGAUGGUACUGACCAUUGGAAUCCCUCUUCUGGCAUACCUCCCUCCUCUAGCGCAGCAGUGAAAGAAUCCAUCAAUGUUGAUGAGAUCGAGGAUCUUGAUUUGGAGGAUACGGAAGAACAAGCAUCUCAGGCAACACCUAGUUCAUCUAAAGUGAGGCUUGGAAUCAUCAUUCCAAAGAAGAACAAGAAACCCAAGACCACACAAGUGAUGUGUGAGCAAGUUACAAGGAUUAGUGACAUUGCCGAGGCUUCCCAUUCAUCAUUUCAGUCUUCCCUAGAGCAAGAUGAGGCAAACUGUGUCACCUCGGUCAUGGAUGAAGUCAUUGCUUGUGGUGCAGCAGUUGAUACCGAUGAGUUCUUCAUGGAUAGCAAGUUGUUUGUGAAGAGGGCGCAAAGGGAGAUGUUUCUUCACAUGCCUCCUGACUCUCAAAAGGGUUGGUUGCAUAGGAAGUAUGACUUGAAGUAUGGGAAGUGGUUACUUCACAUUCCAUCUAUGUGUGAUGGUCGAUUAUCCUUUUGCUACCAAAACUAUUUGUUUCUUUUAUAUCGAACCUACUUCUUAAAGUAUGUGAACUACUUGAUACCAUUCCAUCUAUUUAUGUAA
RNAcentral lists this ribosomal RNA (624 nucleotides) under Triticum aestivum (bread wheat). RNAcentral describes it as "partial small subunit ribosomal RNA". Lineage: Eukaryota; Viridiplantae; Streptophyta; Magnoliopsida; Poales; Poaceae. The record is from RNAcentral.